RNAcentral lists this ribosomal RNA (494 nucleotides) under uncultured Bacteroidota bacterium. RNAcentral describes it as "bacterial SSU rRNA". It matches the Rfam family "Bacterial small subunit ribosomal RNA", at positions 8 to 523 of the family's 1533-position model. The record is from RNAcentral. Lineage: Bacteria; Pseudomonadati; Bacteroidota.
AGAGUUUGAUCAUGGCUCAGGAUGAACGCUAGCUGGAGGCUUAAUACAUGCAAGUCGAGCGGGAUUGGUAGCAAUACCAUGAGAGCGGCGCACGGGUGAGUAACGCGUACACGACCUACCUCUGACAGGGGGAUAGCCCUGGGAAACUGGGAUUAAUACCGCAUAUUAUUCUGAUUAAUAAAGGAUUGGAAUGAAAGUUCAGGCGGUCAGAGAUGGGUGUGCGUCUGAUUAGCUAGUUGGUAGGGUAACGGCCUACCAAGGCGAUGAUCAGUAGGGGGCGUGAGAGCGUGGUCCCCCACACGGGUACUGAGACACGGACCCGACUCCUACGGGAGGCAGCAGUAAGGAAUAUUGCACAAUGGGCGAAAGCCUGAUGCAGCAACGCCGCGUGUGCGAUGAAGGCCUUCGGGUCGUAAAGCACUUUUCUGAGGGAUGAGCAAGGACAGUACCUCAGGAAUAAGUCUCGGCUAACUACGUGCCAGCCGCCGCGGUAA